GACGAACGCUGGCGGCGUGCUUAACACAUGCAAGUCGAACGGAAAGGCCCUGCUUUUGUGGGGUGCUCGAGUGGCGAAAGGGUGAGUAACACGUGAGUAACCUGCCCUUGACUUUGGGAUAACUUCAGGAAACUGGGGCUAAUACCGGAUAUGAGCUCCUGCUGCAUGGUGGGGGUUGGAAAGUUUCGGCGGUUGGGGAUGGACUCGAGGCUUAUCAGCUUGUUGGUGGGGUAGUGGCUUACCAAGGCUCUGACGGGUAGCCGGCCUGAGAGGGUGACCGGCCACAUUGGGACUGAGAUACGGCCCAGACUCCUACGGGAGGCAGCAGUGGGGAAUAUUGCACAAUGGGCGGAAGCCUGAUGCAGCAACGCCGCGUGCGGGAUGACGGCCUUCGGGUUGUAAACCGCUUUCGCGUGUGACGAAGCGUGAGUGACGGUAAUGGGUAAAGAAGCACCGGCUAACUACGUG
RNAcentral lists this ribosomal RNA (468 nucleotides) under uncultured bacterium. RNAcentral's name for it is "partial 16S ribosomal RNA". It matches the Rfam family "Bacterial small subunit ribosomal RNA", at positions 28 to 507 of the family's 1533-position model. The record is from RNAcentral.